Non-coding RNA from Paramuricea clavata, 1049 nucleotides. Lineage: Eukaryota; Metazoa; Cnidaria; Anthozoa; Malacalcyonacea; Plexauridae. The record is from the annotation of a GenBank genome assembly.
UUAUUAAAUUAAAUAACGAGAAAUAUUUGAAAAGCCUCAGCAGAGAAGAGUAGCUAAUUAAUGUUACAAUAUUUCCUUCAAAUGGUUCAAAUUUCAGAUCAAUUGGUUUAGUGCACCCAUAUCUUCAGGGCUAAAAUUUUUUUAAUUUAAUAGCCUUAAAUCACCAAGUACCUGCCACGUUGUUUACGUCAGUCAAAAGUAUUGUUCAGAGAAACGCAUAUACAAUGAAAUAUGAGACGUUGAUGUUGAUAUGAUUUAAAAGUAUUGACCGUCAAUAUUCAGUUAAUCUCGCACUAUUUCAACCUUUUUAUCAGCAGCUUUAGCUCUUUAGUUCAAAUCCGAAAUAAACUUUAUCUUCUUUUUUAAUUUUUUUUAAGGACAUUGCUUGAUAUUUAGAUUCCCGUUCCAUUGAGUUUCAUGCGCUAACCCUUAUCAAACGAAAGCGCAAGUCACCGCGGCAUCGCAAGUCAUCUCUACGUAAACGUCUCCGUAAACAUCAUGCAGCUUGACAAGAUUAAAACGUGUUUGAGAAAUUCUUGAAACCUUUAUUUUGCUAAUGUAAGCGCUCAAAUGACGGUAUAGCAAUUCGUGACUGCCUAUGAACUGACUUGCAACGACUUUAUUAUUCGUAUUUCAAUAUUUCCACUAUACUGGACGUAGCUUGUUAAUUUUUCCCUCUCACUCAAUCUGUUUAAACAAUUGAUUUUCACAUUUGUUGUUAAAUAUCAAUUUCUUCUUCUAAAAUAUGUUUCAUGUCCGUGUUGUUUUGGUAAUAGUUUCCUUAUAAUGUUGUAGAAAAUUCCCAGAAAAUUAAUUUGUUGCGCAUUGACCAUGCCGCUGUUGUUUACAUUAUAUUUGGUUUUCUCCAGCUUCUCUAUUCGCUGUCUCGCCUCAUAGGUUGUCUUGUUUUAAAUAUUUGAGUUCUGUGUGAGCGUAUUCUAUAGAAUCUAGAAUUGCCACAGCAUUCCUUAUCCGUUCUUCUAUUAUUUCUAGUAUAUCUAGUCGAAGGUAGACACACUCGUAUAGCCUGUCUAGCAACAGCAACUUGC